GAGCCAACGGUGGAUGCCUUGGCGUCUACUACCGAUGAAGGACGUGUCCGGCUGCGAAAAGCCACGGUCAGCUGCCUAGAAAGCGUUACGAACCGUGGAUGUCCGAAUGGGGAAACCCGGCGCCUUUGCGGGCGUCACUCCGGUGUGAACACAUAGCAGCGGUAGAGGGAACCGGGGGAAUUGAAACAUCUCAGUACCCCCGAGGAAAAGAAAGCAACAGCGACUCCCUGAGUAGCGGCGAGCGAAACGGGAUCAGCCCAAACCUUACUGGUGUCAUAGCCUGGUGGCGUUGCCAGUAGGGGGUUGUGGGAUUCGAGGGAAGGCGCACCAGAGCCUUCACGAAGUUACAAAACUGCUGCGUAGUGGAAGUGUUUUGGAAAAGCACGCCACAGUGGGUAACAGCCCCGUACACGAAACGUACGCAGUCUUCGCUCGAGUGUCCCAAGUAACGCC
RNAcentral lists this ribosomal RNA (453 nucleotides) under uncultured bacterium. Its description in RNAcentral is "bacterial LSU rRNA". It matches the Rfam family "Bacterial large subunit ribosomal RNA", at positions 15 to 419 of the family's 2925-position model. The record is from RNAcentral.